GACUUGUAAAGCCUGAAAUCCUAAAAGGAUAUCCUGGCUUUAACCAAGUCUCUUGUAGAGCUAUUAUAAAAGGAUUAUAUUUAUUAAUCAAAUAAAAUAAGUCUGAUUUCUUAUUUGUUAUGCUACGACAGUUCCACUGAAUUAUUUGGACUUUGUAAUCCAUUGUGAGAAGUUAAUAAUUGAGAAAAUACAUUGUACAUGGCAUCGUUGGACGGUGGUAAAGUUGAAAGAAGAUUGAAAAUGAGAUUUAUUGGAAGGAGAUGAUGAUGUUAAUACAUCUGAAUAUAGUUUAGAAGUUGGAGGAUGAAAUUUUGAUGCUUCAGCAUAAGAAACACAACUAUGGGCCAUUGUUUCUUUAAUGACUUUCUGACGUGCAUAUUCAGGACAUUUUUUACUAAUUGUUGAAUGAGAACCAUUACACAAGAUACAAGAAACAUUUUCCUCAUCUACUUCACAUUUAUCACCUGUAUGAUUUUGCCUGCAUUUAUAACACCGAGGAUUUGAACGACACUGCAUCUUGACAUGUCCGAACCUACAGCAGUUAUAGCAUUGGAUAGUAGGGUAAAUGUACAAAUCUACAGUUAAUGAUGUGUAAAACAUAAAUACUCUUUUUGGCAAUAUUUGUCCAUCAAAAGUAAUAACAAUGGUUUCAGUAUUAAUAAAACUUGGUUGUCCUUCA
Galleria mellonella (greater wax moth) is the source of this 679-nucleotide long non-coding RNA. RefSeq lists it as uncharacterized. The transcript is spliced from 2 exons. The record is from RefSeq and is a predicted model, not a curated record. Lineage: Eukaryota; Metazoa; Arthropoda; Insecta; Lepidoptera; Pyralidae.